This 1527-nucleotide ribosomal RNA is filed under the name Klebsiella aerogenes. Its description in RNAcentral is "bacterial SSU rRNA". It matches the Rfam family "Bacterial small subunit ribosomal RNA". The record is from RNAcentral. Lineage: Bacteria; Pseudomonadati; Pseudomonadota; Gammaproteobacteria; Enterobacterales; Enterobacteriaceae.
AGAGUUUGAUCAUGGCUCAGAUUGAACGCUGGCGGCAGGCCUAACACAUGCAAGUCGAGCGGUAGCACAGAGAGCUUGCUCUCGGGUGACGAGCGGCGGACGGGUGAGUAAUGUCUGGGAAACUGCCUGAUGGAGGGGGAUAACUACUGGAAACGGUAGCUAAUACCGCAUAACGUCGCAAGACCAAAGUGGGGGACCUUCGGGCCUCAUGCCAUCAGAUGUGCCCAGAUGGGAUUAGCUAGUAGGUGGGGUAACGGCUCACCUAGGCGACGAUCCCUAGCUGGUCUGAGAGGAUGACCAGCCACACUGGAACUGAGACACGGUCCAGACUCCUACGGGAGGCAGCAGUGGGGAAUAUUGCACAAUGGGCGCAAGCCUGAUGCAGCCAUGCCGCGUGUGUGAAGAAGGCCUUCGGGUUGUAAAGCACUUUCAGCGGGGAGGAAGGCGUUAAGGUUAAUAACCUUGGCGAUUGACGUUACCCGCAGAAGAAGCACCGGCUAACUCCGUGCCAGCAGCCGCGGUAAUACGGAGGGUGCAAGCGUUAAUCGGAAUUACUGGGCGUAAAGCGCACGCAGGCGGUCUGUCAAGUCGGAUGUGAAAUCCCCGGCUCAACCUGGGAACUGCAUUCGAAACUGGCAGGCUAGAGUCUUGUAGAGGGGGGUAGAAUUCCAGGUGUAGCGGUGAAAUGCGUAGAGAUCUGGAGGAAUACCGGUGGCGAAGGCGGCCCCCUGGACAAAGACUGACGCUCAGGUGCGAAAGCGUGGGGAGCAAACAGGAUUAGAUACCCUGGUAGUCCACGCCGUAAACGAUGUCGAUUUGGAGGUUGUGCCCUUGAGGCGUGGCUUCCGGAGCUAACGCGUUAAAUCGACCGCCUGGGGAGUACGGCCGCAAGGUUAAAACUCAAAUGAAUUGACGGGGGCCCGCACAAGCGGUGGAGCAUGUGGUUUAAUUCGAUGCAACGCGAAGAACCUUACCUGGUCUUGACAUCCACAGAACUUAGCAGAGAUGCUUUGGUGCCUUCGGGAACUGUGAGACAGGUGCUGCAUGGCUGUCGUCAGCUCGUGUUGUGAAAUGUUGGGUUAAGUCCCGCAACGAGCGCAACCCUUAUCCUUUGUUGCCAGCGGUUCGGCCGGGAACUCAAAGGAGACUGCCAGUGAUAAACUGGAGGAAGGUGGGGAUGACGUCAAGUCAUCAUGGCCCUUACGACCAGGGCUACACACGUGCUACAAUGGCAUAUACAAAGAGAAGCGACCUCGCGAGAGCAAGCGGACCUCAUAAAGUAUGUCGUAGUCCGGAUUGGAGUCUGCAACUCGACUCCAUGAAGUCGGAAUCGCUAGUAAUCGUAGAUCAGAAUGCUACGGUGAAUACGUUCCCGGGCCUUGUACACACCGCCCGUCACACCAUGGGAGUGGGUUGCAAAAGAAGUAGGUAGCUUAACCUUCGGGAGGGCGCUUACCACUUUGUGAUUCAUGACUGGGGUGAAGUCGUAACAAGGUAACCGUAGGGGAACCUGCGGUUGGAUCACCU